CAUCUAUGAGACUGAAGCAAGAAGGACAUCAACAGGCCAGAAUGACAGACUGGCAAGUUCUUUUGCUUGGCCAGCAACAUUUGGCAACCCUUCACCUGGCUUCUCCCUAGGGAAGAUGUCUCUCGAAGGAACCCUUAAAACAGCUUUUGUCACAAGCCUAACCUUCCACAAGGUUAUUUCAUGUUCUCUCUGCUUUUGGCUGAAGCAACGUACCUCUGCCUACUACCAUUUCUGCUGCUGAUUAUAAAACCGAUUUCUACCUUGAAAAAAAAUAAAUAAAUAACCAGAAUAACCUA
Mastomys coucha (southern multimammate mouse) is the source of this 296-nucleotide long non-coding RNA. RefSeq lists it as uncharacterized. The transcript has 3 exons. The record is from RefSeq and is a predicted model, not a curated record. Lineage: Eukaryota; Metazoa; Chordata; Mammalia; Rodentia; Muridae.